This is a long non-coding RNA of Oncorhynchus mykiss (rainbow trout), 1742 nucleotides long. RefSeq lists it as uncharacterized. The record is from RefSeq and is a predicted model, not a curated record. NCBI's taxonomy places the organism in Eukaryota, Metazoa, Chordata, Actinopteri, Salmoniformes, Salmonidae.
CUCAACACGGUCUGAUGUUGCUGAGGUAUUAAAUAGGGACAGACACAGCGCUGGUGUUAAUGCAAGAUAAUCAUACACACCACCUCAUAGACAUAGAGACAGACACACCCCAUGAGAAGGUGACAUUUUGAAGACUUUUUGAAAACCGACAAGGAAAGGUUCAGCUGAAAAUACACGUGGCAGAAUCCUCGGACAAGAUCACACUAUCACGUGUUGAUGGUUUCACUUUCAGCCCUAAUAAUGAAACUACUCAUAUAUUGGAUUACAAAGAUGAGAACACAGGGGAGUUUGUAUGCAAGAAAGACGGAAGGGAAGAUCGCAAAAUCUAUGUGAAAUGUCGGAGUAAUUACAGUACUGCCCCUUCCCUCAAUGUACAAUGAUAUGGCACAAUAAUUUUUUAAGAACUCAAUAUUUGUUUAUGUGUAUGCCAUUAUAAUACACGUCAUUAUAAUGUACAUGUGUGUAAGGGAUUGUGCGUGCAUUGUGUGUAUGUAUGGCGUGUUUGUGUGUGUCCCCAGCCUGUGAUAAAUGCAUUAAACUGGAUACAGCUACGGCUGUAGGGAUGGUUGUGGGAGUCCUGGUGGCCACUGCCUGAUUGGAGUAGUUGUUUACUGCAUCGCCUCACAGCCCAAAGCAACUCUAACCGCCGGCAAGAAAAACAGAUCUGAAUACAGCACUCUGCCGGAAAGGAGAUGAGAAUAAUAAAAUAUGCUCAGUGCUACAUUACUUUUACCACCCCUCAGAAUAAUAGUUGUAAAGCAUUGAGAAAUCAGGUCCACAAUGUCCAUGACAAGUAUCUCAACUGUCAAUUUGAUGUACAGUCAAUGGUUCUGUACAAGUUAAUGCCAUUCGGAUGUACAUACAUUGCCUGUUUGCUCAGUUGCUUUGUUAAGUUUGCGCUACUGUUUUGCAUGAACUAAGAUUUCCUUCUGGAACCAUAUAUCACACGUUUGUUGAAUUCUAUUUAUUUAUUUAUAUUGUAGAGAAAUUGUUUAUGGACAUACAUACAUUUUCCACGUAUUUAAAAAAAAAAAUAAAAUAAAAACAUUUUAGGCUGUUUUGUUAUUCCAUGUAGUAACACAAUGUUUGAUUUGCUUUUAUAAUCCGAGCAUAUCAUUUUUUUUCAACCUGUGUACAGAUAAUGUUUGAAGAAUUAAGGUGUACGACGGUUAGUUUUGAACUCCAAAGCUCUCGCUCAUCACUGUACCCUCUGCAUGAGAGGGAGCGGGCCUUUCUUAGCUCUUUGGAGACAUAGUCAUUGGUACGUCUUCAUCGAUAAGGCCAUACUGAGACAGCUUCCCUUUUGCCUGUGUACCUACAUUGCCCAGCAGACAAAUGACACCUAUCAGCUCCGCUCAGAGGACGGUAUCUUGUUGACUGUGCCUGGAUAGAGCUGGGUAAAAAAAGCAUUCUAUUUCUCUGGCCCUUCCACUUGCUACAAGCUACAGAAGGACAGGAAAUUGCAGGAGCUCGUGUUUUUGAAUUAGUUUAAAGAUCAGGUCAAAUCUAUGGUGGACAAUAAAGUGGGUGGCUGUCAAUGUUUUGACUCCUAGAUGCAACACACCUCACCAAAUUCAUUUCAAUUGUCGUGCUUUGUGUUUCAUGUUGUAAUUGUCUCUGAAGCAACUAUUUUGGCCAGGUCUCUCUUGGAAAAUAGGUUUUUAAUCUCAAUGAGACUAACCUGGUGAAAUAAAACCGAAAAUAAAGAAAUAAUGAAAUGGAAAGUUGGUCACAAAAUAACG